Molecule: ribosomal RNA, 440 nt
Filed under: Salmonella enterica subsp. enterica
Lineage: Bacteria; Pseudomonadati; Pseudomonadota; Gammaproteobacteria; Enterobacterales; Enterobacteriaceae
Also listed under: 1 other name
Description: bacterial SSU rRNA
Rfam family: Bacterial small subunit ribosomal RNA
Source: RNAcentral
UUAUCCUUUGUUGCCAGCGAUUAGGUCGGGAACUCAAAGGAGACUGCCAGUGAUAAACUGGAGGAAGGUGGGGAUGACGUCAAGUCAUCAUGGCCCUUACGACCAGGGCUACACACGUGCUACAAUGGCGCAUACAAAGAGAAGCGACCUCGCGAGAGCAAGCGGACCUCAUAAAGUGCGUCGUAGUCCGGAUUGGAGUCUGCAACUCGACUCCAUGAAGUCGGAAUCGCUAGUAAUCGUGGAUCAGAAUGCCACGGUGAAUACGUUCCCGGGCCUUGUACACACCGCCCGUCACACCAUGGGAGUGGGUUGCAAAAGAAGUAGGUAGCUUAACCUUCGGGAGGGCGCUUACCACUUUGUGAUUCAUGACUGGGGUGAAGUCGUAACAAGGUAACCGUAGGGGAACCUGCGGUUGGAUCACCUCCUUACCUUAAAGAAGC